This 388-nucleotide ribosomal RNA is filed under the name uncultured bacterium. Its description in RNAcentral is "bacterial SSU rRNA". It matches the Rfam family "Bacterial small subunit ribosomal RNA", at positions 28 to 417 of the family's 1533-position model. The record is from RNAcentral.
GACGAACGCUGGCGGCGUGCUUAACACAUGCAAGUCGAGCGGUAAGGCCCUUUCGGGGGUACACGAGCGGCGAACGGGUGAGUAACACGUGGGUGACCUGCCCUCAGCUCUGGGAUAAGCCUGGGAAACUGGGUCUAAUACCGGAUAUGACUCCAUGACGCAUGUUGUGGGGUGGAAAGCCUUGUGCGGCUGGGGAUGGGCCCGCGGCCUAUCAGCUUGUUGGUGGGGUGAUGGCCUACCAAGGCGACGACGGGUAGCCGGCCUGAGAGGGCGACCGGCCACACUGGGACUGAGACACGGCCCAGACUCCUACGGGAGGCAGCAGUGGGGAAUCUUGCGCAAUGGGCGAAAGCCUGACGCAGCGACGCCGCGUGAGGGAUGACGGCCU